This is a long non-coding RNA of Salvelinus namaycush (lake trout), 1235 nucleotides long. RefSeq lists it as uncharacterized. The transcript is spliced from 4 exons. NCBI's taxonomy places the organism in Eukaryota, Metazoa, Chordata, Actinopteri, Salmoniformes, Salmonidae. The record is from RefSeq and is a predicted model, not a curated record.
AAAGAAAUGUACCAAGUUGUUGAUUAAUCUCAGUUAACUUAGAACUAAAGUCUUGUGUAAUUGGUCAGCUGCUUGAUUAUGUUUUGGGGCCAUACAUGUUAAGAGAAGGGAUUAAAAGAUGAUAUAACUGUGAUGUGGUAAAGUUGGACCCAGAUGCAGAGAAGAGACCAGAAGAUGAAGCAGUGGUUCCAACCAGUGUCUCCACCCCUCAAGGGCCCACUUAACUGCCAAGAGCUCCCGGUUGCCUACAUCGUAGUUGCCUUCCGCUGGCGAGAACCACUUGGAGAGAAAGGCGCAUGGGUGCAGUUUCUUGUCCUCCUCGUUCCGCUGUGAAAGUUCUGCCCCAGCUCCGGUGUCCGAGGUCGUCCACCUCUACCACAAAGGGGCGAGUAGGAUCAGGAUGAACGAGGAUGGGUCUGGAGUUGAAACGUCCCUUGUGCUCUAUGAAUGCCCUGUCAGCCUCGGGAUUCCUGCAAAAACCUGCUUGAGUGAGGUGGGACAGGGCUGUAUGUGUUCCGGAAGGGUUUUUGGAGAAGAUCAGGAUGUCGUCGAGGUAAACAAAGACGAACCGAUUCAACAAAUCCCUAAGAGUGUCAUUGAUCAAUGCUUGAAUGACUGCCGAUUUGAAGCGUUGCGGAGGUCCAGUUUGGUGAAGAAUUGGGCUCCUAGGGCCAACUCCAAGGCGGCGGACAUCGGAUUUGUUGAACAUGAGUGGAAAUGAAACUCCAGCACACUGGUAGCACUAUAGACGUGUGAGUAUAACUUUUCCAGGUGAGUUGAACCUGCCUGUGGGUGCGGUGGGGAUAUUCCUGGGAGGUCUACUGAUGAAGAGGUAUAAGCUUGGCGUUGUGUCUGGAGCCCAGCUGUCUUUCGUCACCUCCUUCAUGGCCGACCUCCUCCUCCCUCUCCAUUCUGACACUAAGUGUGACAACGUUCAGGUGGCUGGUCUGACCGUGUCCUACAACGGGUCCACUGAUGUACGAUGGCAGCCUGUUGUCAGAGUGUAACAGAGACUGCUCCUGCUUGGAUGGGGAGUGGGACACUGUGUUCAGACAAUGGCAUCACCUACACCUCCCCCUGCCUCGCAGGCUGCUCCAGCUUUACAGGUUACGGCAAGAACACGGUACCAAUACUAUUAAUGUACUGAGUGUACAAAACAUUCACAGGGAUGCUGAGCCAUGUUGACUCCAAUGCCUCCCACAGUUGUGUCAAGUUGGCUGUAUGUCUUUUGAGUG